RNAcentral lists this ribosomal RNA (767 nucleotides) under uncultured Bacilli bacterium. Its description in RNAcentral is "bacterial SSU rRNA". It matches the Rfam family "Bacterial small subunit ribosomal RNA", at positions 28 to 776 of the family's 1533-position model. The record is from RNAcentral. Lineage: Bacteria; Bacillati; Bacillota; Bacilli. RNAcentral also lists the same sequence under 1 other name.
GACGAACGCUGGCGGCGUGCCUAAUACAUGCAAGUCGAACGAGAGCGACCGGUGCUUGCACUGGUCAAUCUAGUGGCGAACGGGUGAGUAACACGUGGGUAACCUGCCCAUCAGAGGGGGAUAACAUCCGGAAACGGAUGCUAAAACCGCAUAGGUCUUCGAGCCGCAUGGCUUGAAGAGGAAAAGAGGCGCAAGCUUCUGCUGAUGGAUGGACCCGCGGUGCAUUAGCUAGUUGGUGAGGUAACGGCUCACCAAGGCCGUGAUGCAUAGCCGACCUGAGAGGGUGAUCGGCCACAUUGGGACUGAGACACGGCCCAAACUCCUACGGGAGGCAGCAGUAGGGAAUCUUCCGCAAUGGACGCAAGUCUGACGGAGCAACGCCGCGUGAGUGAAGAAGGUUUUCGGAUCGUAAAACUCUGUUGUUAGAGAAGAACAAGUGCUAGAGUAACUGUUAGCGCCUUGACGGUAUCUAACCAGAAAGCCACGGCUAACUACGUGCCAGCAGCCGCGGUAAUACGUAGGUGGCAAGCGUUGUCCGGAUUUAUUGGGCGUAAAGCGAGCGCAGGCGGUUCCUUAAGUCUGAUGUGAAAGCCCCCGGCUCAACCGGGGAGGGUCAUUGGAAACUGGGGAACUUGAGUGCAGAAGAGGAGAGUGGAAUUCCAUGUGUAGCGGUGAAAUGCGUAGAUAUAUGGAGGAACACCAGUGGCGAAGGCGACUCUCUGGUCUGUAACUGACGCUGAGGCUCGAAAGCGUGGGUAGCAAACAGG